This 728-nucleotide ribosomal RNA is filed under the name uncultured Planctomycetota bacterium. RNAcentral's name for it is "bacterial SSU rRNA". It matches the Rfam family "Bacterial small subunit ribosomal RNA", at positions 558 to 1278 of the family's 1533-position model. Lineage: Bacteria; Pseudomonadati; Planctomycetota. The record is from RNAcentral.
GCUUGAGCACGUAGGUGGGUUUGUAAGUCAGAUGUGAAAGCCUUCUGUUCAACGGAAGAAUUGCAUCUGAAACUGCGAGUCUUGAGUGUAGGAGGGGAGAAUGGAACUUCUGGUGGAGCGGUGAAAUGCGUAGAUAUCAGAAGGAACGCCGGCGGCGAAAGCGAUUCUCUGGCCUAUUACUGACACUCAGUGUGCGAAAGCUAGGGGAGCAAACGGGAUUAGAUACCCCGGUAGUCCUAGCCGUAAACGAUGGGCACUAAGUAGAGGGAAUUACCGAUGUUCUCUCUGCCGUAGCUAUCGCAUUAAGUGCCCCGCCUGGGGAGUACGGCCGCAAGGCUAAAACUCAAAAGAAUUGACGGGGGCUCGCACAAGCGGUGGAGCAUGUGGCUUAAUUCGAUGCAACGCGAAAAACCUUACCGGGGCUUGACAUGGUAGAAGUAGGAACCCGAAAGGGUAACGAGCGGUAUCCAGUCCGUAGCUAUCACAGGUGUUGCAUGGCUGUCGUCAGCUCGUGUCGUGAGACGUUGGGUUAAGUCCCCUAACGAGCGAAACCCUUGUUUUUAGUUACCAGCGGGUUGUGCCGGGUACUCUAGAAAGACUGCCGUCGUCAAGACGGAGGAAGGUGGGGAUGACGUCAAGUCAUCAUGGCCCUUAUGCCCCGGGCUGCACACGUGCUACAAUGGUCGGUACAAACGGAAGCGAAGCCGAGAGGUGAAGCGAAUCCAAGC